RNAcentral lists this unclassified non-coding RNA (280 nucleotides) under Leohumicola sp. RNAcentral's name for it is "partial contains 5.8S ribosomal RNA, internal transcribed spacer 2, and large subunit ribosomal RNA". The stretch from base 1 to 71 matches the Rfam family "5.8S ribosomal RNA", at positions 84 to 154 of the family's 154-position model. The record is from RNAcentral. Lineage: Eukaryota; Fungi; Ascomycota; Leotiomycetes.
GUGAAUCAUCGAAUCUUUGAACGCACAUUGCGCCCCUUGGCAUUCCGAGGGGCAUGCCCGUUCGAGCGUCAUUAUAACCCCUCAAGCCUAGCUUGGUGUUGGGGCCUGCUGUUACCGGCAGCCCUUAAAAUCAGUGGCGGUGCUAUCUGGCUCUAAGCGUAGUAAUACUUCUCGCUACAGGGUCCCGGUGGAUGCUUGCCAUCAACCCCUAAUUUUCUAUGGUUGACCUCGGAUCGGGUAGGGAUACCCGCUGAACUUAAGCAUAUCAAUAAGCGGAGGA